Molecule: RNase P RNA, 336 nt
Filed under: Oscillospiraceae bacterium OttesenSCG-928-F05
Lineage: Bacteria; Bacillati; Bacillota; Clostridia; Eubacteriales; Oscillospiraceae
Description: RNase P RNA component class A
Rfam family: Bacterial RNase P class A
About the family: Ribonuclease P (RNase P) is a ubiquitous endoribonuclease, found in archaea, bacteria and eukarya as well as chloroplasts and mitochondria. Its best characterised activity is the generation of mature 5'-ends of tRNAs by cleaving the 5'-leader elements of precursor-tRNAs.
Source: RNAcentral
CGAGUAAGCCAGACGGCCGCGCAGGCGAGGCCUGUGAGGAAAGUCCGAGCUCCACAGGGCAGGGAUAGCGGGUAACGCCCGCCGAAGGCGACUUCAGGACAAGUGCAACAGAGAUAGACCGCCCGCAUUUUGCGGGUAAGGGUGGAAAGGUAGGGUAAGAGCCUACCGGCCCGCCGGGAGACCGGUGGGUCCUGUAAACUCUAUCCGGAGCAACACCGACUUAGAGGUUAAGCCGGCCCGGCGUCUCUAGACAGGUGGCUUGAGCCGAGGGGGCAACCCCCGGCCCAGAUAGAUGGCUGUCGAAUACAGAACUCGGCUUACAGACUUGCUCGUAUA